Molecule: ribosomal RNA, 253 nt
Filed under: uncultured bacterium
Lineage: Bacteria
Description: partial 16S ribosomal RNA
Rfam family: Bacterial small subunit ribosomal RNA
Source: RNAcentral
UACGUAGGGGGCAAGCGUUGUCCGGAUUUAUUGGGCGUAAAGAGCUCGUAGGCGGUUCCGUAAGUCGGGUGUGAAAAAUCUGGGCUCAACCCAGUGGAGCACCCGAUACUGCGGUGACUCGAGUCCGGUAGGGGAGUGUGGAAUUCCUGGUGUAGCGGUGAAAUGCGCAGAUAUCAGGAAGAACACCCGUGGCGAAGGCGGCUCUCUGGGACGGUACUGACGCUGAGACGCGAAAGCGUGGGGAGCGAACAGG